Molecule: long non-coding RNA, 1745 nt
Organism: Equus caballus (horse)
Lineage: Eukaryota; Metazoa; Chordata; Mammalia; Perissodactyla; Equidae
Source: Ensembl
CGAUACGUUAUUUGAACCCUGUAUUUGGCUGUAGUCGCUGGUUUUGCCGACUCAGGAUCUCUUGAGGAUGUCUUGGCUCCGAGUCCCAGCUUGCGUAGACUCUGAUAGGGUGGUGAAGGCUGCGCAGACUUGAGAGGUUUGGUCAGAGAGCCUAGAAUUGAAAUGGAAACCUCCCCCAUCUGUCAUGGCCAAGGUCUUAGAGAAUCUGGGGGGCGAAGGGAGUUGGGAGCUGGGAGGUCCAGGUUGUUCUUAUCCUCAGAGGUUGGCCAGUCCUGGGGAACUUAGUGCCAGGGACCACCAUAGGGAUAUUCUGCUGCUUUAUCAAACACACGAAGACAUUAAGAGAUGGAACUGUGAUUGUGGGAAAGGAGAGGGUAGGAGGAAGUCGCAAGUGGCUCCUGGAAAAUCUGAGAAGUACCUGACCUGUGGAUUUGUGCCCAGGGCAUUUUAUUUUAUUAUUUUAUGUGUCCCAGUCAUGACUCAAAAUGAAGUCCUGCCCGCCCGUGACUCAGAGCCCAGUUUCCGUCACAACUGGUUCUGUUAUCACAACUUGAAAUACUGACCAACAGCAAGACACGAAAACUGCUCCUAGACUAUGAUAGCAAAAGCCAAACGUUAUAAAUGUACAUCAUUUUGUAAAAGACUGAACUUCAGGCCAUCCAUUUUCGGUGGGAAGGGCACAGAAGUGAUGCUGUACCCUUUUCCAUGGAUUACAUCAGGAUGCAACUCAGUGUUGAUACGUCCCUGGUGAUGCCAACCUCGAUCAUCUGAUGCUGUUGGUUGGGAAUAUUAGUCCUAGCAGUGUGUUUAUUUGGACAGAAUCUUCUCACAGCAAAGCAAGCUGAGGUCCCCUGGAGCAGAUCAUACAGACAUGGUUUCUAUGCUGGGUUUGUUGAUACUGGUGGUAUUUGGCAGAGACCGAAUACCUGGCUUGUAGAAGACAUCAUACCUCACACUCAUCCUGCUCUCACACGUGGAAGGUACACCAUCCUGACCGGUGACUGUGCCUUCUGCCUGCCUGAAGAUAAGGUGGCCACAGGACCAACAGGGACUAUUGGUGACCAGUGCACCCUUGUGCACUGGGAUUAGGGAUUGGCCCUAAUUUGGUUAUUUCAGGCAAAGGUGUAACCAUAAACCUCACCCUGAAUCUAGAAAUUAAGGUUUCCUGAGCAAUUCUUGGAAGGCAGUUCCUGGCAGCACUUAAACCCCCAAGGAAGCAAAGAGAAGCCUGAAACAAAAUCCAGAUGCCUUGCAUGGGACACUCACUUUGUUGUGGAGGUCAGUGCUGCCAAAGAAAAAUGACUUCUCAGGCUUGCCAUGUCUCGUUCCAAAUGGGUGUCCUCAGAAAAGUAAACUUGGUGCCACAAAGAUUAAUGCGCUAUGAAGUAAGAAUAUCCAGGCAUCUUGGAACGUCUGUGUGCCCAUGGGGUGGGAAUGCCUGGUGAGCCCACUUGCUAUGUUGUCCUGAGGGGUCCGGCCACAGCGCUGCCUGAGCAGGGGUGGGUAGGUGGACCUGGGCACCACAGUCCAUGUCCAAGCUCCUUUUGGGUCCCCAUUUGUGUGGCACCCUCUGCACUGGGUUUGGGUAUUUCUGAAUCAGCAUUCCUGAAGAGGUUCUCUAAUUAAACAUGUUAGAAAUCGACAGAAGGAACUGGAGGGAGGGGUGGGGAUGAGAGGACAGAAAGAGAGGAAAGAGAGAGGAAACUAAGACUGGUGGAAUAUCUACUACGCAUCAGACACCUUAU